ACAUAUUCAAAAAGACUGCACCAAGG
This 26-nucleotide non-coding RNA is filed under the name Cricetulus griseus (Chinese hamster). Lineage: Eukaryota; Metazoa; Chordata; Mammalia; Rodentia; Cricetidae. The record is from RNAcentral.